Molecule: non-coding RNA, 46 nt
Filed under: Trichobilharzia regenti
Lineage: Eukaryota; Metazoa; Platyhelminthes; Trematoda; Strigeidida; Schistosomatidae
Source: RNAcentral
GUACAGCUGAAGAGUCCCAAACUAGGACGAAACAGCUGUCCAGCAC